RNAcentral lists this transfer RNA (76 nucleotides) under Bacillota bacterium. RNAcentral's name for it is "Firmicutes bacterium (anaerobic digester metagenome) tRNA-Lys". It matches the Rfam family "tRNA". Rfam says of the family: Transfer RNA (tRNA) molecules are approximately 80 nucleotides in length. Their secondary structure includes four short double-helical elements and three loops (D, anti-codon, and T loops). Lineage: Bacteria; Bacillati; Bacillota. The record is from RNAcentral. RNAcentral also lists the same sequence under 1 other name.
GAGCCAUUAGCUCAGUCGGUAGAGCACCGGACUUUUAAUCCGGGUGUCCCGCGUUCGAAUCGCGGAUGGCUCACCA